GGAGUUUUUUUUAUAAUAUUUUUGCUAAAAUAAAUUGUUUUAUUUGUAUUUGAUAACCUCAAAAAAUAAAUUAUUUUGUUAAAGUAAAUGUUAAAAAUGAUAUAUUUAUUAAAAUGACGAAAAUGCCCUCAGAAUUUAACGGUGUUAGUGGUCAGGGUAUCAAAAUGCUAACGAAAUGAAACUUUGGGUAUUAAAAUAAAAUUUUUUGAUAGUUAUGUAUAAAAAUAAAAAUAACAUCAUAGUUCGGGUGGUGUUUUGUAAUUAGAUAUAAAUGUAGUGUGUUGGGGGUGGUGCUACGCUUAUUAACAUGCACUAUACAUAAACAUACUGGUGGCUGAGUUGAAAGUAUGCACUUCUGCUGUAUUUGUUAAGAUGCCAACUGGGGAUGCGUUUGCUUUUACUUUGAGUUUGUUGCAAAAAGUGCAAAAAUACAUAGGUUUUUCUCUGAUGCAAAGUGCAAAAAUAGAUAGGUUUUUCUCUGAUGCAAACAAAGGUUUUUCUCUUCAAAAGAUAUGUUUUGUGUAAUACAAUCUUCACCAUGUAUCCAAGAAACAAAUGAAUGCUGAAAUGAAUAGCAGUGAUAUAUUAUCAUCAUUAUAUCAUUAUAUAGUUCUACCAUUCCAACGGUUUUAAGCUGAGCGUGCAACACAGUUUAGCAAAUGUAGAUCUAAAAAUAUACAGCUUAUUUUCAUUUGACCUCUGUGAACAUGUUCAAUAAGUAACUAGUUUAUAGUGACUAAUAUCCGCCAAUCCGCCAUUGAGAUGAAUUUGGCGUGCAGCAGCAUUUUACAUAACCAACUAAUGUUCUUUUUUAGAGGAAUUUGUUAAGUUAUUGCUCAAAUUCACACGGAAAAUUGCUAAACUGGGUCUCUUUACCAAAAGAUUCUAAAUCCUGCAGCUUCACUUUAAAAAGUUCAUAUAGCAUAAAAGAAACUACACCCACACAAACGUGAAAAGGCGGUUGUUCUUGCUUUGCAUAUCUUGCAGUUUCAGUCAAAUUUUGUGGUUAUAUCUGCAGCAUUCAUGACUUCCAUACGAAAGUCCAUGUAAACAGUGGUAAUACAGCAAUGCAGGCAUGAAUCCCUCUUCCAGUUUACAAGUUAGUUUUUGUGAUUGUAUCUCUAAACUGCACUCCAAGAGACUAGGAUUAAAGUAAAAAAAUAUUGGUCAUCUAAUUCAAAAGAGUUAUAUUACCUAUUCAGCCUGCCCUUUCUAGACCAAGUGAUCUAGACAAUUCUUUAGCUUCCAUUCAUUUCCUUCUAAAGAACAAGCUAUUCCAGCAAGAAAAAUGUUGGCUUUAAAGUCAUGCUGCUUGGAUACCAGCAGGGAUAUGCUUGAAGGAUUGUUGCAGGAUUUACUACAUAUCAACUCAUGCUACAGUUUACUUAUUGUCUUCGAUGAUCACUUCAUUCCUACCUGUCUACCAUGCUUAGUCUAAUCAUCUCUAAGGCAUAAGGGCACUGUAGGCAAGUUGCUGAUAUAGGGCACAUAAAAAAUUAAAAAUAACUCAUAUAAGCUCAUAUUUACUACGUAUCGGCUUGAAACUUAUAAUCUUAUAAUGAUGAAAUUGCAAUUUCGCAUAAGGCUUGGUUGUCGCUCAAAUUAAUACAAGGUUAACUAGCCAACAGUUAAAGAUGGUGUUGCUACUUAAUUUGAGCAUCACAUUACAAUCAACAGUGGUACUAUCGAGCAACAUUACAAUCAACAGUGAUACUACCGAUAGUUUUGCUUCUUGUCAUAUAUUUCUCAUAGACAAGCAUGGAUAGUUUGCUAUAAACACUCCCAUACACUAUACCUUUCAUUCACCAUUCACCUAAAGAAACACUGAAUAAUCACUAACCGGUUACAGCUCCCGUUUCAUCUCAAAAGUACAACUAAGGAAAAUCAAGAGGUUGUAUUUGCUACAACAUAUACAUUUAAUGAUCCAAGAAAAAGUGAUCCUCAUAUUAGACUAUUAGACACUAUUUAACCACAAAUCGGCUUAAACAUGCAUGUAUUCCUAUGUCAAAACAUUAUAUAUCAACAUGCAUAAAGCAUAAAGCAUAAAAUAUGAUAGUAUAAACCAUAAAGCAUAAAAUAUGAUAGCAUAAACCAUAAAGCAUACAUGUAUACCUAUGUUUUGACAGUAUAUAUCAACUAUAAUACCAUAAAAUCCUCAAACCAGUGUCGUAUAUCCACAGCAAGACUAGGCAGCAAAAAAAAAUAACUCCAUUUGCAUACACACUCAAGGACUAGACUAGAGAGGAACACUCCAUGCAAAUAGAUGUAUUAAACUUGAAUGCAGAACGGCAUUUAUAACGUAUGCAUCCAUUCGUGUUACUUCACCAUGAAAAUCAAAGCUAAAUGCAGUAGUAGCAUUUAUAACUAUUAUAUGCUGAUGGGAACAAGGUAACACAUAGAAGUCCAGAUAUAUAAAGUACUGACAGUUGGAAUCCUAAACUAUUUCAAUUUGUGGCUGAAACCCUGUAUCUAGCAAAGUCUAACAAACAAGGCAAAUUUGAAGCACGAAGCUCUGGCAAAUUCGAGGCACACAAUUGACUUAGCGAGUUGAAUCAUCAUACAGAUCUAUAAAACACUAGAUCGAGUGUCUUAUUACUCCCAUCAACACUAAUAAGCACAAAAAUAAAUUUUAAAACCAACAAAGCGAUCUCACCUCCAGGUAAUAGCUAGCGUAUUUGUCACAUCCUUCAAACCAUAUUACAAUAAUUUUGUGCAGCAUUUUGCCUAGUAUGUGCACGACAUCUGACUUAUAACCCAAGUCCUUGUCAUCUUAUUUGACAACAAUACAACUUACAAAAUAAAGUUAAAAAUUAGUAGACUGAGGGAAAUUUUACAUCCCAAACCAAAAGAGAACAUAACAAGAAAUAUAGGUAGCUACAGCCAAUCACUUGUAGUUAUGGAAAUAAAGAAUAAUAGGUGCCCUAAUGGAGAGAAGCUAACAAAGUCAAAACAUUUUAGCAAAACCACUCAACAGGUGGAUUACAUUAAAAACUAACUAGAACAAAAAUCAGAAACUCCUAUGUUUCUUAGUUUAACAAUCAAUCACCAAUGAGCAUUUCCCUUGCUUGGUUCGUUGCUAAUUAAAACAAUCAAUUACACAAGCAACGAAUUAACAAAAAGUAUGGUAACAAAAUAAAUUUAGCAAGCGGAUAUUUAAAUCAACUGACACAGAACAAAAUAGCACAUUAGUAAUUUGUUGCAAGAGACAUUAAUUUUAUACAUGAUUCUAAAAUUUCUAAUCAAACCCAACAUGUCUUAUUCACAUCAAAGCUCAAAUAUUCAAACAGUACACUUAACAUCUCAUAAGGCAAAAAUAUCACAAUUUGUGGACAAAAACAUAACCCUUUGUACAACUAAAAAGGGGAGACAUUUCACAGAGCACUUAUCAAAACAUACCACAUUAUUCCCCUAUGAAUAGGACCUACACUAGCCCCACAUUAUUCAAAACAUACCACAUUAUUCCCCUAUGAAUAAGACCUACACUAGCUCCAAACAAAGACAUCUCAUACAAAUGCGUAGAUGGCAGAAAAGUACUCAUCAAUGAGCACCUAACAUCGGAAACUCACUAUAAUUUAUCUAGCUUAUCAAAGAACACUAAAGUUUUUCAGAUCAGUAGUACACACAUGGAAGAUCAACUUCAUAAUAUUUCAAGCCAAACAGAAUCAUAAAUCCUAAACAAAUUCAAAUACAGAACAGCUGCAACGCAUAGCGCCGACAACAAUUUUAGUACAAAGAACUUAACUUCAGAAAAUCACUACCAGUUAUCUAGCUUAUUUAUAGGACACUAAACUUUUCUGAUCAAGAGUUCACACAUUGAAGAACAACUCCACAUAAUUUCAACCAAAACGAAAUCCUAUAUCCUAAUCAAUUUCGAAUUCAAAACAGCUGCACUAGAUAAAACUGAGAACAAUUUCAGCACAAAGCACUUUAACGUCAGAAAAACACUACCAUUUAUCUAGCUUAUCAUAAGGAUUGAUUAGUCAAAGAUUUCUUUAAUUUUUUACUUACAUGCAUUAGAUUGAAGUCACCUGCGUUGUAAAAUAACUUGGGAUCUGAAGCUUUUGAGUUGAAAGGGAUAAAGUAAACUCAAGGGAUUGGAUAGAAAGAUUAGCUUAUGUUGAGAACUUAGCUUACCUCAAAAUUCAGCAUCAGGUUUCUCCAAGUCAAUACUAGACUUAUGAAGGUAUCUCAUUCCCUUUUGAUUUCUCCCUCCAGCCAAAGCACUCUCCCUUCCUUCUUUUUUUCUUCCUUUUUCUUCGAUUCUAUAUGUACUCCGAUAACCUCCCACAUCGUCAGCAGUCUGAGUUCUGCUUUUCCUAAACAUCUUCCAGUCCGGUUGGGGUAAUAACCGGAAGGCCGCACGAAGCGGUUGGGGUAAUUACCGAGACGCCGCACGAAGCGGUAAAUGAUCAUAACCAGGACGCCGCACGAAGCGGUUAGAAUAAUAAUCGAGACGCCGCACGAAACGGUUGAGAAAUAACCAGAAGGCCGCACAAAGCGGAUGAGUAAUAACCGGAAGGCCACACAAAGCGGUUGGGUAAUAAUCGGGUCGCCGCACGAAGCGGUUGAGGUAAUAACCAGGAGGACACACGAAGCGGUAAGGGAAAUAACCCGAACGCCGCACGAAGCGGUAAUGGGUAAUAAUCGGGACGCCGCACGAAGCGGUAAUGGGUAAUAAUCGGGACGCCGCACGAAGCGGUAAUGGGUAAUAACCGGGACGCCGCACGAAGCGGUAAAUGAUCAUAAUCGGGACACCGCACUAAGCGAUAACGGGAAAUAACCGGGACACCACACAGAGGUUGGGGUAAUUACCGGGACGCCGCACGAAGUGGUUGAGUAAUAACCGGAACGCCGCACAAAGCGGUAAGGGGUAAUAACCGGAACGGCCGCACGAAGCAAUAACGGUUAAUAACCGGGACGUCGCACGAAGCAGUUAGAGUAAAAACCGAGACGCCGAACAAAACGGUUAGAGUAAUAAUCGAGACGCCGCACGAAGCGGUAAAGAGUAAUAACGAAAAGGCCGCACGAAACGGUUGGGUAAUAACCGGAACGCCACACGAAGCAGUUCGGGUACUAACCGGGAGGACACACAAAGCGAUAAGGGGUAAUAACUGAGAGGACGCACAAAGCGGUAAUGGGUAAUAACCGGGACGCCGCACGAAACGGUUGGGGUAAUAACCGGGAAAACGCACAAAGCGGUAAGGGGUAAUAACCGGGAGGACGCACGAAGCGGUAAUGGGUAAUAACCGGGAAAACGCACGAAGCGGUAAUGGAGUAAUAACUGGGAGGACGCACGAAACGGUAAGGGGUAAUAACCGGGAGGACGCACGAAGCGGUAAUGGGUAAUAACCGGGAGGCCGCACGAAGCGGUAAUGGGUAAUAACCGAGAGACCGCACGAAGCGGUAAUGGGUAAUAACCAGGACUCGGUAGGAAGCGGUUGUGGCAAUUACCAGGAGGAAGCACGAAACGGUAAAAGGUAAUAAAAGGAAGGACGCACGAAACGAUAAUGGCUAAUAACAGGGACGCCGCAAAAGCGGUUGGGGUAAUUACCGAGACGCCGCACGAAGCGGUUGGGGUAAUUACUGAGACGCCGCACGAAGCGGUUGGGGUAAUAACCGAGACGCCGCACGAAACAGUUGGGGUAAUAACCAGGACGCCGCACAAAACAGUUGGGGUAAUAACCGGGACGCCGAACGAAACAGUUGGGGUAAUAACCGGGAUGCCGCACGAAGCGGUUGAGGUAAUAACCGGAACGCCGCACGAAACGGUUGGGUAAUAAUCGGGACGCCGCAUGAAGCGACAAUGGGUAAUAACCGGGAUGCCGCACGGAGCGACAAUGGAUAAUAACCGGGAGGCUGCACGAAACAACAAUGGGUAAUAAUCGGGAGGCUGCACAAAGCGGUUCGGGUAAUAACCAGGACGCCACUCGAAGCGGUUGCGGUAAUAACCGGGACACCGCUCAAAGUGGUUGGGUACUAACCGGGACGCCGCUCAAAGCGGUUGGGUACUAACCGGGACGCCGCUCGAAGCGGUUGGGGUAAUAACCGAGACGCCGCACGAACCGGUUAGGGUAAUAACCGAGACGCCGCACAAAGCGGUUAGGGUAAUAACCGAGACGCCACACGAAGCAGUUUGGGUAAUAACCAGGACGCCUCACCAAACGGCUAGGUAAUAACCGGGAUGCCGCACGAAGCGGUUUGGGUAAUAACCGGGACACCGCACGAAGGGAUAAUGGGUAAUAAUCGAGACGCCGCACGAAACGGUCGGGGUAAUAACCAGGAGACCGCACAAAACGAUCAAGGUAAUAACCGGGAGGCCGCACGAAACAGUCGGGGUAAUAACCAGGAGGCCGCACGAAGCGGUUGGGGUGAUAACCAGGAAGCCGCAUGAAGCGGUAAUGGGUAAUAACCGGGAGGCCGCAAGAAGCGGUAAUGAGUAGUAACUGAGAGGCCACACGAAGCGGUUGGGGUAAUAACUGGGAGGCCGCACGAAUCGGUUGAGGUAAUAACCGGGACGCCGCACGAAACGGUUAGGUAAUAACCGGGACGCCGCACGAAACGGUUGGGUAAUAACCGGAAUGCCGCACGAAGCGACAAUGGAUAAUAACCGGGAGGCCGCACGAAACGGUUGGGUAAUAACCGGGAUGCCGCACGAAGCGACAAUGGAUAAUAACCGGGAGGCCGCACGAAGCGACAAUGGGUAAUAACCGGGAGGCCGCACGAAGCGACAAUGGGUAAUAAUCGAGAGGCUACACGAAGCGGUUGGGGUAAUAACCAGGACACCACUCGAAGCGGUUGCGGUAAUAACCGGGACGCCGCUCAAAGCGGUUCGAUACUAACCGGGACGUCGCUCGAAGCGGUUGGGGUAAUAUCAGAGACGCCGCACGAACCGGUUAGGGUAAUAACCGAGACGCUGCACAAAGCGGUUGGGGUAAAAACCAAGACGCCGCACGAAGCGGAUAGGAAAUAACCAGGACGCCUCACCAAACGGCUAGGUAAUAACCGGGAUGCCGCACGAAGUAGUUGGGGUAAUAACCGGGACGCCGCACGAAGCAGUUGGGGUAAUAACUGGGACGCCGCACGAAGGGACAAUGGGUAAUAACCGGGACGCCGCACGAAGCGGUCGGGGUAAUAACCAUGAGACCGCACGAAGCGGUUGGGUAAUAGCAAGGAUGCCGCACGAAGGGACAAUGGGUAAUAACCGGGAGGCCGCACGAAACGGCCGGGGUGAUAACCGGGACGCCGCAUGAAGCGGUUGGGUAAUAGCCAAGAUGCCGCACCAAGCGGUAAGAGGUUAUAACCGUAAUGCCGCACGAAGCGGUAAUGGAUAAGAACCGGGACGCCGCACGAAGCGGUAAUGGAUAAGAACCGGAAAGCCGCACGAAGCGGUAAUGGGUAAAAGCCGGAAGGCCGCAUGAAGCGGUUGGGGUAAUUACCGUGGGUAAUAACCGGGAGGCCGCACGAAACGGUUGGGGUAAUGACUGCGACGCCGCACGAAGUGGUUGGGGUAAUAACCGAAACGUCGAACGAAACAGUUGGGGUAAUAAACGGGAUGCCGCACAAAACAGUUAGGUAAUAACCGGGACGCCACACGAAGCGACAAUGGGUAAUAACUGAGACACCGCACGAAGCGACAAUGGGUAAUAACCGGGAGGCCGCACAAAACGGUUGGGGUAAUUACCGAGACGCCCCACUAAGCAGUUAAGGUAAUAAUCGGGACGCCGCACAAAACGGUUAGCGUGAAAACCAAGAAACCGCACGAAGCGGUUAGGGUGAUAACUGGGAGGCCGCACGAAGCUGUUGGGGUGAUAACCAGGAGGCCGCACGAAGCUGUUGGGGUCAUAACCGGGAGGCCGCACGAAGCGGUAAUAGGUAAUAACCGGGAGGCCGCACGAAGCGGUAAUGGGUAAAAAUCGAGAGGCCGCACGGAGCGAUUGGGUAAGUAACCGAGACGCCGCACGAAGCAGUAAUUCGUAAUAACCGGGACGCCGCAUGAAGCGAUGUGCGUAAAUACCGAUACGUCGCACGAAGCGGUUGGGGUAAUUACUGAUACGCCGCACGAAGCGGUUAGGGUAAUUUCCGAUACAACACACGAAGCGGUUGGCGUAUUAACCAAGAGACCGCACGAAGCGGUUGGGGUGAUAACCGGGAGGCCGCACGAAGCGGUUGGGGUGAUAACCGGGAGGCCGCACGAAGCGGUUGGCGUGAUAACCGGGAGGCCGCAUGAAGCUGUUGGGGUGAUAACCGGGAGGCCGCACGAAGCGGUUGGAAUCAUAACCGGGAGGCCGCACGAAGCGGUAAUGGGUAAUAACCGGGAGGCCGCACGAAGCGGUAAUGGGUAAAAAUCGGGAGGCCGCACGAAGCGAUUGGGUAAGUAACCGAGAUGCCACACGAAGCAGUAAUUCGUAAUAACCGGGACGCCGCACAAAGCGGUAGGGGUAAAUACCGAUACGCCGCACGAAGCGGUUGGGGUAAUUACUGAUACGCCGCACCAAGCGGUUAGGGUAAUUUCUGAUACAACACACGAAGUGGAUAGAGUAAUAACUGGGACGCCGCACGAAGCGGUUAGGUAAUAACCGGGAUGCCGCACAAAGCGGUUGGGUAAUAACCGUAACGUCGCACGAAACGGUAAGGGGUAAUAACCGGGAAGCCGCACAAAGCUGUAAUAGGUAAUAACCGAGACGCCCCAGGAAGCGGUUGGGGUAAUAACCAGGAGGCCGCACAAAACGGUUAGGGUAAUAACCGGGAGGCCGCACGAAGCGGAAAGGGGUAAUAACCGAGACACCGCAACNNNNNNNNNNNNNNNNNNNNNNNNNNNNNNNNNNNNNNNNNNNNNNNNNNNNNNNNNNNNNNNNNNNNNNNNNNNNNNNNNNNNNNNNNNNNNNNGGCGAGGCCGCACGAAGCAGUAAGGGGUAAUAACCGGGACGCCGCACCAAGCGGAAAUGGGUAAUAACCGGGAUACUGCACGAAGCGGUUGGGGUAAUAACCGGGACGCCGCACGAAGCGGAAAUGGCUAAAUGGCUAAUAAUCAAGAGGCCGCACAAAGCGAUAAUGGGUAAUAACCGGGACGCCGCACGAAGCGGUAAUGGGUAACUAGAUGGCCGCAUGAAGCGGUUGGGGCAAUAACCAGGAGAACGCACAAACCGUAAGGGGUAAUAACCGGAAAGCCGCACGAAGCGGUAAUAGGUAAUAACCGAGACGCCGCACGAAGCGGUUGGGGUAAUAACCGGGAGGUCGCACAAAGCGGUUGGGGUAAUAACCUGAAGGCCGCACAAAACGGUUAGGGUAAUAACUGGGAGGCCGCACGAAGCGGUAAGGGGUAAUAACCAAGACACCGUACGAAAUGGUAAUGGGUAAUAACCGGGAGACCGCACGAAGCGGUAAUGGGUAAUAACAGGGAGGUUGCACGAAAAGGUUGGGGUAAUUAACGGAACGCCACACAAAGCGGUAAUGGGUAAUAAACGGAACGCAGCACGAAGCGGUAAUGAGUAAUAACCAAGACGCCGCACAAAGCGGUAACGGGUAAUAACCGGGAGACUGCACAAAGCGGUUGAGAUAAUAACCGGGAGACUACACAAAGCUGUUGAGAUAAUAACCGGGACAACGCACGAAGCGGUAACGGGUAAUAACCGGAAGGCCGCACAAAGCGGUUGGGGUAAUUACCGUGGGUAAUAACCAAGACGCCGCACGAUGCGGUUGGGGUAAUAACCGUAACGCCGCACGAAACGGUAAGGGGUAAUAACCGGGAAGCCGCACGAAGCGGUAAUGGGUAAUAACCAGGACGCCGCACGAAGCGGUUGGGGUAAUAACCGGGAGGCCGCACGAAGCGGUAAAGGGUAAUAACCGAGAAGCCGCACGAAGUAGUAAUGGGUAAUAACCGGAACGCCGCAUGAAGCGGUUGGGGUAAUAACCGGAACGCCGCACGAAACGAUCAAGGUAAUAACCGGGAAGCCACACGAAACGGUUGGGGUAAUAACAGAGACGCCGCACGAAGCGGUAAUGUGUAGUAACAGGGAGGCUACGAAGCGGUAAUAGGUAAUAACCGGGAGACCGCACGAAGCGGUUAAGGUAAUAACCGGGAGGCCACACGAAGCGGUAAUGGGUACUAACCGAGAGGACGCACAAAAUGACAAUGGGUAAUAACCGGGACACCGCACGAAAAGGUAAUGGGUAAUAACCGGGAGGCCGCACGAAACGGUUGGGGUAAUAAUCGGGAGGCCGUGCAAAGCGGUAAAGGGUAAUAAACGGAACACCACACGAAACGGUAAUGUGUAGUAACCGGGAGGCCACACGAAGCGGUAAUGGGUAAUAACCGGGAGGCUGCACGAAGUCGUUAAUGGGUAAUAACCGGGGAGGCCGCACGAAGCGGUAAUGGGUAAUAACCGGGGAGGCCGCACGAAGCGGUAUUGGUAAUAACCAGAAGGCCGCAUGUAACGGUAAUAGGUAAUAACCGGGAGACCACAAGAAGCGGUUGAGGUAAUAACUGGGACGCCGCACGAACAGUAUGGGUAAUAACCGGGAGGCCGCACGAAGCGGUUAGGGUAAUAACCGGGAGGCCGCACGAAGCGGUUGGGGUAAUAACCGGGACGCCGCACGAAGCGGUAAUGAAUAAUAACCGAAAGGCCGUACGAUGCGGUUGGGGUAAUUACCGAAACACCGCACAAAGCGGUUGGGGUAAUAACCUGGACGCCGCAAGAAGCGGUUGGGUAAUAACCAGAACGUCCGGGAUACCGCAUACAGCGGUUGUGUAAUAACCGGGACGCCGCACGAAACGGUUGGGGUAAUAACCGAAAAAACGCACGAAACGGUAAAGGGUAAUAACCGAGACACCGCACGAAACGGUAAUGGGUAAUAACCGGGACGCCGCACGAAACAGUAAUGGGUAAUAAGAGGGACACCGAACGAAACGGUUGAGUAAUAACCGGGAUGCCGCAAGAAACAGUAAGGGGUAAUAACCGGGACGCCGCACGAAACGGUUAGGUAAUAACCGAGACGCCGCAUUAAACGGUAAGGGGUAAUAACCGGGAGGCCGCACAAAACGGAAAGGGGUUUUUAAGAGUUAUGGAAAGAAUAAUUAUCUAUUGUUUUUAAGAGUCUUGCAUGGGUCUUUAUGUAUUUAAGUCUUUUAAUUAUUCAAGAGUCUUAUUAUUAACAAGUUUACAAAUCUUAUGGUAUUCUAGGAGUCUUAUAAAGGGCUUUCUAAUGUACUUCGAAGAGUUGAUUUGAAUGAAUUAAGAUUUUAUCUUAUUGAAGGCUUGUCCUUGUUUCCUCUCCCCUAACCUCUCUCAUUCUAUUUCUCUCUUCUAAAGCUAAGAAACCCUUGUCCCUUAAUCUCUCAACAUUCUGCAGAUCACCGUAUUAUCUCUAUCACUGACUAUUGGCCUCUCCAUGCAUCAAUGAUAAUCCACCAUUUUUGUCUCAGUCAACUACGACACCACUUUAUUCACUGAUGUUGAUAAUGUUCUAAGAAUUAGGGUCAUUAUUUCUAGUCAUUUUUAUACAGAUACAUAUUUAAAAGCAAUAAAGAUUACUUCCUAUUUUCUACUUAACUCCAAAUAAGCAUCCAAUUGGAUUUAGUUAUUCUCUGUAUAGAAAUGUAAGUGAGAGAUAUAAAGUGGUACCUCCAAACAUAGAAAUUCUUUUUGAAACUAGUGUUAAUUCCAAAUAUUUCUUCAUUUCUUAAGUAUAGAAAUAUCAAUGAGAGAUAUCAAAUGCGAAAAAGAGAAAGGACUUGAAUAUAAAAAGCUUACCUAAUAUGUUUCUACUCUUAUGUCCAGACUUCAGAUAUGGCGGUAUAAAACUGAUAGGUAUGAAAUUAAGGUGGAGUGAAUUCCUUGGAGCAAAUUCCUAAUAUUCAGAAUCAGUAAUAAAAAAUAAAAAAACACGGAUUAACUUGGAAUAUUCAAUAGUAUCAUAAAAUUAAAGUGAGAAACAGCUGAGAUGAAUAACAAAAUUAAAUUAGUUGAAGUAUGAGUAUCAGUCCCAAGUAAUUACUCCACUCUCCUUUCCUUUUGAAUAAU
This 12020-nucleotide long non-coding RNA is filed under the name Fragaria vesca (wild strawberry). RNAcentral describes it as "long non-coding RNA (FVES_LNC000408)". The record is from RNAcentral. Lineage: Eukaryota; Viridiplantae; Streptophyta; Magnoliopsida; Rosales; Rosaceae.